This 200-nucleotide non-coding RNA is filed under the name Bacteroidota bacterium. Lineage: Bacteria; Pseudomonadati; Bacteroidota. The record is from RNAcentral.
ACCUUUGUCGCCGAUACGGGUGUUAGUUUAUCGGACCUGAUAAACGACUUAAUAGGGAAACAGGUGUAAAACCUGUACAGUUCCCGCUGCUGUGAGCUCAAAUAUGUGCUCCUGAAACCUGGUCACUGUCAGCCUCAGGCUGAUGGGAAGGCCUCAGGAGUGAGCAAAGUCAGAAGACCUGCCUGCGUCAACGGAUGAUC